GUGCUUAACACAUGCAAGUCGAACGGAAAGGUCUCUUCGGAGAUACUCGAGUGGCGAACGGGUGAGUAACACGUGGGCAAUCUGCCCUGCACUUCGGGAUAAGCCUGGGAAACUGGGUCUAAUACCGGAUAGGACCACUUGGCGCAUGCCUUGUGGUGGAAAGCUUUUGCGGUGUGGGAUGGGCCCGCGGCCUAUCAGCUAGUUGGUGGGGUGAUGGCCUACCAAGGCGACGACGGGUAGCCGGCCUGAGAGGGUGUCCGGCCACACUGGGACUGAGAUACGGCCCAGACUCCUACGGGAGGCAGCAGUGGGGAAUAUUGCACAAUGGGCGCAAGCCUGAUGCAGCGACGCCGCGUGGGGGAUGACGGCCUUCGGGUUGUAAACCUCUUUCAGCAGGGACGAAGCGCAAGUGACGGUACCUGCAGAAGAAGCACCGGCCAACUACGUGCCAGCAGCCGCGGUAAUACGUAGGGUGCGAGCGUUGUCCGGAAUUACUGGGCGUAAAGAGCUCGUAG
This 515-nucleotide ribosomal RNA is filed under the name Mycobacterium parascrofulaceum. Its description in RNAcentral is "bacterial SSU rRNA". It matches the Rfam family "Bacterial small subunit ribosomal RNA", at positions 44 to 574 of the family's 1533-position model. The record is from RNAcentral. Lineage: Bacteria; Bacillati; Actinomycetota; Actinomycetes; Mycobacteriales; Mycobacteriaceae.